This is a long non-coding RNA of Drosophila serrata, 221 nucleotides long. Lineage: Eukaryota; Metazoa; Arthropoda; Insecta; Diptera; Drosophilidae. The record is from RefSeq and is a predicted model, not a curated record.
UUGGACGGCCGUCCGGAAACUUUCUGCCGUUCGGCUUCGCGGCUGUAAUGUGCAUAUGUACAUCAUAGAUUAAAGAUUUCCUACUUUUUGUAUGACGGCUUCAAGCCCAAGUGAUACAUCUCUUUGGCGAUUUCACCUCAAGCAGCGUCUUGGUUGCUCUGUAGGACCAAUGGAUGUGAUGGCCGGAAUGCUUCCUGACCUAGCAUAGUUGAUUCACUGCC